AAUAACAUUAACUUUUCAUUCAAAACACACAGGUCAUGUCCCCCAAAACCCAUUGUCGUCUUCACAAAACCCACAUAAACCCUAACUUCUAAGCACCAUAACUCAUUCAAUUCUUAACGAAAUCAAGCGAUUCUUGGGUCCAAAUUGUGUGUUUUUUCGAGACGAACAAGACUAACCGAACAGAAUUUCGAAAUUCUUCACGGGUUUUGAGAUUUUUGGACAUUUUUGGUCCGAAAUUUUGGGGGUUCUUGGUGGGUUUUUGCAAGCUUUCAUCCUUGGUGUUUAGUGCUUGUUUAAUCAUCACUCGAGGUAUGUUUUCACCCGAAUGGCACGUGUUCGAGAGAAUAAGAAAGGGAAGGCUCAAGAGGAACCUUCUAAAAGGGCUUCAAAAAAGGCAAAGAAACAACUUCUUGUUGUAGAGGAGUCGGAUGAUUCGGAUCCGGAAUAUGAUGUUUCGGAUGAGGAAGAAGAAGUAGAAGAAGAAGAUCAAAUCAUGACUAUGAGUGGCUAGAUUCUUUUGUGAUCACCUCCGGGUGGAUGGUUCAUGUAUGUGAAACUCAAACCUUGUUUAUUUAGUUUUUUGGGAUUGUUUUUCAUAACUUGAAGAAUACUUGUGGUUUAGUUUUGUUUAAAAGAAUUGUGAGUGUUGCAAUUAUUCAUCUUUUACCAUUCGCAUUCGGUUUUCUUGCAUCGUGAGUAGUUUGGUUAUUGGGUGGGUUCUUGGCACUUAUGAUUUGGUAAUUAGAUUGCAUAAGUUAUUAUUAAAAACUUGUCUUUGAUUAUCAAUCAAACUAAACCGUUAACAAGACCUUUUGGUAUCUAUCUAAUUAAACAGGUUUGGGUGAAUCAUUGAACCGGAAAUCUGGAGGGGGUUGCUUUUCUCUAAAAUUGAUAACCUUCUUAAUUCUUCUUGAUCAAAAAUCUCAAAACGCAAUCAAAGCAAUAGUUUUUCUUAGUUCUAGUUAAUCUAGGUUUCUACAAUCAACACUAACCACAUAUUCCCUGUGGAGACGACCCUACUUACCCUUGCUAGUAAAGGUACUUAGGACCGAUUUUUAAACUUGUUUUUGACCGACCUUUCGACAUCGAU
Molecule: long non-coding RNA, 1090 nt
Filed under: Helianthus annuus (common sunflower)
Lineage: Eukaryota; Viridiplantae; Streptophyta; Magnoliopsida; Asterales; Asteraceae
Source: RNAcentral